GUUUUAAUAAUUUAAUAAAAAAUAUUGGUCUUGUAAAUCAAUUAUAAGACCCAUGUCUUUUAAAACU
Molecule: transfer RNA, 67 nt
Filed under: Acnemia nitidicollis
Lineage: Eukaryota; Metazoa; Arthropoda; Insecta; Diptera; Mycetophilidae
Description: tRNA-Thr
Source: RNAcentral